Passer domesticus (house sparrow) is the source of this 4080-nucleotide long non-coding RNA. RefSeq lists it as uncharacterized. The record is from RefSeq and is a predicted model, not a curated record. The transcript is spliced from 3 exons. NCBI's taxonomy places the organism in Eukaryota, Metazoa, Chordata, Aves, Passeriformes, Passeridae.
ACCCGCAGGAGCUGAGCACCGAGCUCAUGCCGUGCCAUGCCAGGAGGAGAUGGGUGGCUGUCCUUUCCUUUAUGUGUCCUUCCAGCUGCAGCUCCCCUGGGAGCAGGAGAAGCUCCCAGGUGUGUGCUGCCUGGUGCACACGUGGCUCACCACAGCCUCACCCGCUCCUUCACCAGGGUCCCUGAGACCACAGUUACAGCCCCAGGGAAGUGGUGGCCCCUUCAACAGCAGCUUGAAGAUGCUCACUGGAAGAGAGGAGCCCUCCUGUUCCCAGGAUCAAGGAAUGAUGUCCAGCUGUUAUCCUGCUCCCUUUCAAGAUGAUGUCAGGUCAUCUAUGGCAUUUCAAGCAUCCUUGAGGCUCUUUACCUUUGAGACCCUUCAUAGCCACUACAAAAGAUCACAGCAAGUUGCAGAGUGAAGACUACAAUCAGCUUCAGUGCUCUCAGACACAGUUCCCUGAGGUACGGAAAUCACUGUGGUAAGAAAAAGCUAGGGCAGAAGUAGAACUGAUUUUUAGAGCUCUGAGUCUGAAGAAUGAACUUCCAAUAAGCUGACGACCACCGCAAACCACAGAACUUCCUGUUCCAACUGUAUUUGACCUUGUCUGUCUAACAAUAAUAAAAAGUGCUGGUAUCCCACCAAGAGACAUUGCUGCAGAAGACUCAUCACCGCUGCAAAGCACACUGCUGAGAGUCAGUGGAAGAUCAGGCUGUAUGUGUGAACAGCAAAUAUCCUGAAGGGCCUAAUAAGAAUAUGCAAGUAUCCUUUAAAUCUGCAAGAUUUGAACGAGAAAAGUACAGCACUGUCCCUCCUAGAGAAUUCCAGCUAGCGUGCUGCUUCUGCUGUUCACCAUCUUCAGCCACCCAUGAGGGAAAUCAGUGUUGUCUGAGGAAGGACUGAAAAAGUUAUCACCACUUUUGUCCUACUUGAAGCACAGUUUUUAUAACACUGACAGAUACAGUGCAUUGGUCACACCUAAAUGACAACUAUUUCUACACUUAUUUUUUUCCAUCUAUGCAGCUCAGGAGUGGACAGCAAGACUCACAUCUACUUUUGGGGUAUGGAAGCUGAAAGGAUUAGGCAAAAUGUUGUCAGACAACUUAAGCAAGUGCCUUAAUACAUAUCCAUAUGCCUUCUGCUAAACACCCAAUUAAAGGCUCUGUGAAUUUGAGUCUAGAAGGCAGGGAUUCCUCAGUCCAAUAGCAUUUUUAAUUAAUUCCUCAUUAGCAUAAUAUUGAAUAUUAUAGCACCAAGUAAUCCAGUAAUUACAGUUUUGCUUUUCAAAUCUGCAGUUAUUGAUGCAGGUGACAGCAAAGCAACUCUGAAAUUUCUCAAAAGCAAAAUAACUUACAUUUACGUCUUUAUUAGUAAAUGCAUUUCUGAAGGACAUCAUGUGAAUUGUAUUUAGUAAGAUCCUUACAGAGCUUUUACUACCUCAGCAUUAAAUACUUGAGAAUCCUACUUGAGCAGUAAUAAUGUCAUCUCUUUCUUUCUAAGAAAGCCUGUUUGACUUGACAAAACAUAUAUUGUCAAAUGCAUGGCAGGCGCAGAUGACACAGGGAGAUAACACAGUACAAGCAGUCAUAAGGUCUGAAACUCAGAGAACUACCAGAAAUUCCCAUACAACUUUUAUUCUUAUGCUAUAUUUCUUGUGAAUUUCCUCUUUCAAGAUAUGAAUAUUUAUAGAAAUGCCAAAAUCAUGAGAAUAACCUUACUUUUGCAAUUUUUUUAGCUUGUAUAUCAUUAUCUUUCCACUCUUUUUUUUUUUGACAACUGUAGCUAGUCUAAGAUAGUUGUUGUGUAUAUGACUAUAUAGUGACUUUUGUUGAUAUUCUUGGAGACUUCUAACAUAAUCAAAAAUACAUAAUAAUAUCUACCUGUCAGAUAUGGCUUCUCCAGUGAAGAACUAUAAUCAAAAUUAUAACUUUGGAGGGAGUUUGCCAAAACUAAAAUAAAAGCUAGAAAUACACUCAUCUGUAACAAGGCUAACUUAUCUCAUAGUAGUUGUUGUAAAAGCAUGAAUGACAUAAUGUUCCCUGGGUAAUUCUGUGAUGGCCAACUUUUUAUAUGCAAACAUUGCAAAGAGCCUUGCAAACAAUCAGAAUUAAUUCAUAGCUCCCAGUAACACUGACUAUACUCCACGGGGCAAGUCUGGCAAACCCCUCCAUGUCACUCCUGAAGGGACAUCUGGCUCUGACCUGAGGGUGCAUUAGGGCAAGCCCUGGGGGAUCACCAUCUCCCUCAGUGCCUGGCUUACUGGAGGAAACCCACUCAACAGUCAGAAAGGGAGCUGCAGCAGCUCACUGUGGAGCACAGCCAGUCUGCAGUGAGCUACUAAUGGCUACACCGUAGUUAAGCCCACAGGAGCAGCAUGAACCAAACCAGCAGUUCUCUCAGGACAAUACUAUGAUGUGGGUUUAGUAAGGAAAGUGCUGAUGGCAGAGACAUAACAGAGCCAUCCAUGACAGUCCAAAUAAAGAACUACAUGGUGUUUUUCUUUAGGGUUUGGUUUUUUGUUUUGUUGUUUGGUUGUUUUUUUUUCCAAUAUAUCAGUAUGCAUACAGAAAGGAUAGAUUGUUUGGAAAUUGUUUAAUUUCUCUAGAUGGAUGGAUAUCCCAGAAGUUUUUAUUAUUCCUUCAGCUGAUGCUGGUAGACAAUCCUGGAUGUUCAGUAUCUUUCAAAAUCAAGUCACAGACAUGAGAUAGAUUAGGGCCUAAUUUUCAGCUAUCUUUUUUUAAAAGGAUCUGGGUUACAGUCUUGAGAAGCAGAAUACUUGUAAGAAGUUCGUAUCAUCUUUCUGCUCUGUAUAAUAAAGUGGCAUGCGGUAUUUUCUGCAGGUGCACACAUUCACUUUGCAGCCAAUCUGAAAUAUGUUCAGAUCAUAUAAUACUCAGUGAUGUUGCUGCCCUCUUUGAAUGAGUUUAGGAAAUUAUGCCCAAGCCCAGGGAUGUGCGUAGGUGUCUGAUGACCAAUGCAAUCAGUAGGAGCUGGGUGUUUAACUGUCUUCACAUACCCAGGACAGAAUGGUGGUAAACAGUCUGUUGAUACAACUUUCUACAGCUACCAAGGGCAAUGCCAAUACCAGUGACUGCAGUGAACAGGGAGGCUGGGACCCUGCUCAGAAAUGCUGCAAGUCACAGUGUGGAUACACCUAGGAUGAAAGGGCACCCCUCACCUGCUAGGAUCUCCCCUCCUAGAAGCCAACAUGGCCACGGCUCUGUCUCCACAGGACAUUCACAAAAGCAAACCUGCACCAGCACGUACCCAGAGGAACCCCACCACACCCAAACAGGCCAGGACAGCUGCACACACCGCCCAGGUGUAUCACAGAGCCCAUUCUUCUCCACUACCAUGUGGGAUCAGGCCCUGCUUCUGCUUGAAGCUGCCCAUGUUCUUGUAUGGGCCUGUACCUCACCAAUGUUCAGAUACAAACCUGUGCAUGGAUUUUUCAAAGGUAUUCAAAAUUAGUUUUGAAAACUGUAAAAUACUGAUCUGUCGACAGGCUGGUCAUAUCUCCUAUAGUUUCAUUACCUCAAAUGAACCUGAAGAAUCAGGAAAUGUUUUGCUUCAGUUUCUCAUUGAAUCAAUGAAAAAGAAAUGUGUUCUUCCUGAUGCUUCACCUGUGAAUGAUCAGGUUUGCAGACAGCACUUCUGCCAUCUCCCUGAGCUACAGAAGGGCAGACACUGGCCAAGGAGGGCAACACUUGGGCACUGCCCCUGAUGCGGUCAACAGAGCUGCCCUCUGGUACUUGGAUCAGCCUGGGUACCUUUCUCAUUUGAGUCCCAGUUCUGCCACUGCCAAGGUAACAAGAGUUUGUGAUGGGGCAUGUUCAGGCUUCCAACACAUUAAGAAUAAUGCUAAUGAUAUUAUAUGUUUUGUCUGCAGUACGGUCUGGUGCUUAGAAAGUAAACAUCUUGGCUUUGUCUCAAUGUUUAUCUUCAAUAAAUACCUCAGCUUUGUCUCAACAAUUAUCUCUCCACAGCAGACCAUUAUCCAGUAGCAACAUAUAAUUCAUUUAACAGUACUGUUUAAAAUAUAUCCUCUUUAUGCUGCAGAGAAAGGAGCUGUAUGUGGGAAAU